ACUUGGAAUCCUUGUAUUAACUGGCCGCUUAAAAAUUACAAAUAUAAGAUGAAACACAGUUUACUAAUUAACGGAGCGAAAUUAAUCGCCGCUUCAUUCAAAUUUCUUAUCUAUCAACUUUCGAUGGUAAUAUAGAGGAUUACCAUGGUUUUAACGGGUAACAGAGAAUAAGGGUUUUAUUCUGGAGAUGGGGCCUAGAGAAAUUGCCACAACUUCCAAGGAAGGCAGCAGGCGCGCAAAUUACCCAAUAAUAACACAUUGAGGUAGUAACAAAAAAUAACGACGGAGUACUAGUAGAGCAAUCUAUUAGCCGAUUGUAAUGAGUACGGUGUAAAAAACCUAAUAAGUAACAACUAGGGGGCAAGUCUGGUGCCAGCAGCCGCGGUAAUUCCAGCUCUAGUAGCGUAUAUUUAAGUUGUUGUAAUUAAAAAGCUCGUAGUUAAAGUUUGGCUUGGUAAUUUUGUUUUGAGUGAAAUAAAUUCAUUUGGGAUGUUUUUCUAGCUAUAAAGUGAAUAGUAGGCGCUCAGCGUAGUUGAAAGAUUGCGUUGGGAUGGUUUCUAUUUAUAUUACCAUAAGUAAAAUAGAGUGUUUAAGGCAAAACGUUAUGUUUAUUGAAUAAUAGAGUAUGGGAUAAUAGAAUAUGAAAGGGGAUCGAUGUAGUUUUCUAGUAGCAAUAAUAGAGUCGGUUUUUUUUAAUGAUUAAUAGGGGCAAUUGGGGUAAUUAAUAUUUCUACACGAGCGGUGAAAUGCGUAGACUGUAGAAAGAUUAACUAAUGCGAAAGCAUUUUACAAAGGUGUUUUCAUUAAUCAAGAACGAAAGUUAAGGGAUCGAAGAUGAUCAGAUACCGUCGUAGUCUUAACCAUAAACAAUGUCGACAAAAGAUAGGAUUGAAAGUAUCAAUAUACUUUCUUAUUUUUUAAAGGUACUAAAACAAGGGUUCGCCCUUAUUAUAUGUCUCUUCCCGCAUUUUGUAAGAAAUUAAAGUUAUCGGACUUUGGGGGGAGUAUGGUCGCAAGGCUGAAACUUAAAGGAAUUGACGGAAGGGCACCACCAGGUGUGGAACUUGCGGUUUAAUUUGACCCAACACGGGGAAACUCACCAGGUCAGAACAUAGUAAGGAUUGACAGAUUAAGAGAUCUUUCAUAAUUUUAUGGGUGGUGGUGCAUGGCCGAUCUUAGUUCGUGAUAUGAAUUGUCGGCUUAAUUGCGUUAACGAACGAGACCUUUUGAGAUAAAUAGUGGCUAGUAGCAGUU
This 1254-nucleotide ribosomal RNA is filed under the name metagenome. Its description in RNAcentral is "bacterial SSU rRNA". It matches the Rfam family "Eukaryotic small subunit ribosomal RNA", at positions 190 to 1373 of the family's 1831-position model. The record is from RNAcentral.